AUUGAACGCUGGCGGAAUGCUUUACACAUGCAAGUCGAACGGCAGCACGGACUUCGGUCUGGUGGCGAGUGGCGAACGGGUGAGUAAUAUAUCGGAACGUGCCCAGUCGUGGGGGAUAACGUAGUGAAAAUUACGCUAAUACCGCAUACGAUCUAUGGAUGAAAGCGGGGGAUCGCAAGACCUCGCGCGAUUGGAGCGGCCGAUAUCAGAUUAGGUAGUUGGUGAGGUAAAGGCUCACCAAGCCGACGAUCUAUAGCUGGUCUGAGAGGAUGAUCAGCCACACUGGGACUGAGACACGGCCCAGACUCCUACGGGAGGCAGCAGUGGGGAAUUUUGGACAAUGGGCGCAAGCCUGAUCCAGCCAUUCCGCGUGCAGGACGAAGGCCUUCGGGUUGUAAACUGCUUUUGUACAGAACGAAAAGCUCUGAGUUAAUACCUCGGGGUCAUGACGGUACUGUAAGAAUAAGCACCGGCUAACUACGUG
Molecule: ribosomal RNA, 484 nt
Filed under: uncultured bacterium
Lineage: Bacteria
Description: bacterial SSU rRNA
Rfam family: Bacterial small subunit ribosomal RNA
Source: RNAcentral